UACGUAGGGUGCAAGCGUUAAUCGGAAUUACUGGGCGUAAAGCGUACGCAGGCGGCUUUGCAAGACAGGUGUGAAAUCCCCGGGCCUAACCUGGGAACCGCAUUUGUGACUGCAUAGCUAGAGUUUGUCAGAGGGGGGUGGAAUUCCACGUGUAGCAGUGAAAUGCGUAGAUAUGUGGAGGAACACCGAUGGCGAAGGCAGCCCCCUGGGAUGUGACUGACGCUCAUGUACGAAAGCGUGGGGAGCAAACAGG
Molecule: ribosomal RNA, 253 nt
Filed under: uncultured bacterium
Lineage: Bacteria
Description: partial 16S ribosomal RNA
Rfam family: Bacterial small subunit ribosomal RNA
Source: RNAcentral